ACCACACAUUUUUCUUGGUUAUCCAUUCAUGCCCACCAUUCAUCCCGUGCACCUCUCUCUCCCCUCUGGCCUACCUUCAAUCAAUAGCUUGCCGGCGAUGGAAGAGGUGUGUGGCGAGCUGCGGUCCUGGGGCUGCACACAUGAAGCUGCGGAUGUGCGGGAGCACCACUCUCGGUGAGCACGGACGCACGGUGCCAAAGCUACAUCGACAACUUGGUGUUUCCACUUUUCAACCUAAUACGACGACGGUAGGAUGGUAUGCUGCAACCAACGGCCCCUACUACUACGACCAACGAGGUGGUCUCUGCCGUGAAGAUGGACGACGGCUGCGGCGAUUUUUGUGCUGGAACCCACGACUGCCUCUACAUCAACCGGCCAGCCAUUUUGCUGGAACCAGCAUCGGUAAUUGCUGCCAUCAGUCACGCAAUAUGCUGGAAACAGACGCGCACUCGCCGGCGGCAUUUUUUUUUGCUGGAACCAGUCUUUUGCUUUGUUGGAACUAGCAUUUUUGUUUGCUACAAUAAAAUCAGGGGGAGUUCACCUUGCCAGUGUUUGAUUUUGCUGGAAGUAGCUAUCUUUUUUUUGCUACAAAGCAACCACACGAGUUCGCCCUGUUUACUUGUUUUUGCUCCAUCCAAUGUUUUGUUUUGCUGGAAGUAGCUAUCAUUUUUGGUACAAAUCGACCACACCAACUCUUCUUGUUUAGUUGUUUUUUGCUGGAUCUGAUGUUUUGUUUUGCUGGAAUCUGGUAUUUUUUUGCUUCAACCAACCAAUGGAGGAUUGUUGCUUUCAGAUCCUUUUGCCAGACACGUCAGUACAAACCGACCAUUGCGGCGAGCCGGAACCAGAGCAUGGCGAUGAGCUAGAACUGGCGAGCUUGCUUUGCUGCAACCAGCCGCAGGCUGCUAGGAUAAGCAGGGCCAGAAGCUGGAACAGGCGUCCAAAUUUGCUAGAACGGGAGAUCUGGAUUGUUGCAUCGUUCGCCACAUAGGGGAACUACGAAGUUGGCGAGCUGGAAUCGGCGGCCAAUUUUGCUGGAGCCGGCAUCUCGGCAAGCUGGAACCAUCUGACGGCAGGCGAUGGCUGAAUGGCUGAUUCGACGCUGACGGUGUUUUGCUGUGAGCAGUGAUGGAAAAGCUUUUCACGGAACCACUGAAGGCCAAGGCCCAGCACAGCCAGACCGGCCCAGGAGGUCUGCCAAGCCUAACCGACGAGUGGUUGGGCCAAUGUGGAGUAAGUGAGGCUACUUAAGGCGCGUGCAAGCAGUAUCGAUAGAUCACAGACUGAACCGGCGCCGUUGGGCGAUGUAUCCCUCCUCCUCCUCCGGGCUCUCGUCUCCCAAUCCCCUUCUUGCUGAUGAACCCUAGGACACUAUUGUACCACUGAUUUGGCUGAGUAAGAAUAAAUCGAACUACCUAGACCCUAGAUCCGUAUCAUCUGGUAAUCAGAGCCUUCAAUCCCACAAAAUGUUUCCCUUCCGGGUCUCGAUCUGGCGUCAAAGACCCGCAGCCUCAAGGAGAUCAUGCCGGGGACGGAUGUCCAGAAGCAGUUGGAGGAAGCGGCGGCGGAGCGGAGUGGCAUCGCCAAAGCCCUCCUAUCAAUCCAGCAAACACUGGAU
RNAcentral lists this ribosomal RNA (1618 nucleotides) under Triticum aestivum (bread wheat). RNAcentral describes it as "partial small subunit ribosomal RNA". Lineage: Eukaryota; Viridiplantae; Streptophyta; Magnoliopsida; Poales; Poaceae. The record is from RNAcentral.